GUGGGUGUGCCGGAGUGGUUAUUGGGCAUGGCUAGAGAUCAUGUGGGCUUUGCUUGUGCAGGUUUGAAUCCUGUCGCAUACA
RNAcentral lists this transfer RNA (82 nucleotides) under Ipomoea nil (Japanese morning glory). It matches the Rfam family "tRNA". Rfam says of the family: Transfer RNA (tRNA) molecules are approximately 80 nucleotides in length. The record is from Rfam by way of RNAcentral. Lineage: Eukaryota; Viridiplantae; Streptophyta; Magnoliopsida; Solanales; Convolvulaceae.